This 440-nucleotide ribosomal RNA is filed under the name uncultured bacterium. RNAcentral describes it as "bacterial SSU rRNA". It matches the Rfam family "Bacterial small subunit ribosomal RNA", at positions 338 to 795 of the family's 1533-position model. The record is from RNAcentral.
CCUACGGGGUGCAGCAGUGGGGAAUAUUGGACAAUGGGGGAAACCCUGAUCCAGCGACGCCGCGUGAAGGAGGAAGGCUUUCGAGUUGUAAACUUCUUUGGGGAGGGACGAAGAUGACGGUACCUCCAGAACAAGCCACGGCUAACUACGUGCCAGCAGCCGCGGUAAUACGUAGGUGGCGAGCGUUAUCCGGAUUUACUGGGUGUAAAGGGCGCGCAGGCGGCCCUGGAAGUCAGAUGUGAAAGAUCAAGGCUUAACUUUGACAGGUCAUCUGAAACUUUGGGGCUUGAGUAUCAGAGGGGAAAGUGGAAUUCCUAGUGGAGCGGUAAAAUGCACAGAGAUUAGGAGGAACACCGGUGGCGAAGGCGACUUUCUGGCCAGCAACUGACGCUGAGGCGCGAAAGCCAGGGGAGCGAACGGGAUUAGAUACCCUAGUAGUC